Molecule: long non-coding RNA, 277 nt
Filed under: Ananas comosus (pineapple)
Lineage: Eukaryota; Viridiplantae; Streptophyta; Magnoliopsida; Poales; Bromeliaceae
Description: long non-coding RNA (ACOM_LNC039301)
Source: RNAcentral
CCCUGGCUCAGCCGAGAGUCGCCACACAUUUCCGGCUGGUGAACAAGCUCUGAUACCAAAUGUAACGACCCAGCCCACUAGCAACAAUAACUCGUUGGGCCCAACCACCGGCCCAGAAUACUUAAGCCCAGUUAUUAUUACUAGUGUUUAAGUCUUUUAUAUACCCAAUCACAUCCCCAUUCCUAUCCGAUGUGGGAUUAUUGGGGUGUGAUACCGAGUGAACGCUAGAUACUGAGAUUCAUUUGUUUCAAAGCUAUUGUUAAUGUUAUGGAAAAGU